This 597-nucleotide long non-coding RNA is filed under the name Equus caballus (horse). RNAcentral describes it as "lncRNA (ENSECAG00000046731.1)". The record is from RNAcentral. Lineage: Eukaryota; Metazoa; Chordata; Mammalia; Perissodactyla; Equidae.
AAGAGACACUGACCAACUUUAAGCAGAGCUCGGCUAUGCAGUUCGCCGAGUGCUCAGGUCCCUUCAUGAUGGUGGUUAUGACUCGGUUUUAGCUCUUGUGCUACCAGAGGAGUGACUGUGCAGGAGUAGAAGUCAGGAGAGAUGCUGACUCUAAAAACCCAGGCACCUUGCGCUUUGAAGCUCAAGCAGCCACAUGGAGAGACCGUGUGCAGGUCUUGCAGCCAACUGCCCCAGCUGAGAUCCUGGCCAACGGCCAGCAUCCACCACCAGACAUGCUAGGAACUGAUUGCUGUGCUCAACUGCUCAACCUGUGACCACCCAGCUUGAGACAACAGACCUGCCACAUGCUGUGUCCAUCAAGACAGCAGACCUGCUAUCUACUGUGUGAAUAGCUGUGCUGUGCCAGCUAGGCAAUCUCAUGACUGUUGUAAAAGGGACAUUCCUAUCACAUGUGAUGUACGCUCUUUGUUCUAAGAUGGUAUAUAACCACUUUGUAUGCCCCACUUCUUUGGUGCCCUUCCUUCCUUGUGGAAUGAAGGCCCCAGGCUAAGCUAGUCCUCAGAUCUGGUUCCUAAUAAACUCACCGCAAUUUCGAUG